Molecule: long non-coding RNA, 288 nt
Organism: Pundamilia nyererei
Lineage: Eukaryota; Metazoa; Chordata; Actinopteri; Cichliformes; Cichlidae
Exons: 3
Source: RefSeq, a predicted model, not a curated record
CCCUCUGUGGCACUUUUGUCUGCAACAUCUAACCACUGCAUCGGUAUGCACACCUACGAGCAUGAUGUGCACUGAAUGCUGAUGCAGAGAUCACUGCUCUGUUUCUAAAGGAAUGAAAUCCCAGGAGAAAGAAAAAACCUCGCAACUUGUAUUAAACAUGAAGUGCAGUGCAGUUCCUGGGACUCUCACAGCUAAAGCUGCUGUAAAGCAGCGCUUCUUAACCGCUCGACUGGAUCCCAAAGAUGUUUCUGCUCCCUGGGUGGAUCGUACAGCCGGGGGCCCCUCCAC